RNAcentral lists this transfer RNA (85 nucleotides) under Alphaproteobacteria bacterium. Its description in RNAcentral is "tRNA-Tyr". It matches the Rfam family "tRNA". From Rfam's summary of the family: Transfer RNA (tRNA) molecules are approximately 80 nucleotides in length. Their secondary structure includes four short double-helical elements and three loops (D, anti-codon, and T loops). Further hydrogen bonds mediate the characteristic L-shaped molecular structure. tRNAs have two regions of fundamental functional importance: the anti-codon, which is responsible for specific mRNA codon recognition, and the 3' end, to which the tRNAs corresponding amino acid is attached (by aminoacyl-tRNA synthetases). tRNAs cope with the degeneracy of the genetic code in two manners: having more than one tRNA (with a specific anti-codon) for a particular amino acid; and 'wobble' base-pairing, i.e. permitting non-standard base-pairing at the 3rd anti-codon position. Lineage: Bacteria; Pseudomonadati; Pseudomonadota; Alphaproteobacteria. The record is from RNAcentral.
GGAGGGAUGGCUGAGCGGUCAAAAGCAGCGGACUGUAAAUCCGCCGACAUUGUCUACGUAGGUUCGAAUCCUACUCCCUCCACCA